Molecule: unclassified non-coding RNA, 999 nt
Filed under: Hevea brasiliensis (rubber tree)
Lineage: Eukaryota; Viridiplantae; Streptophyta; Magnoliopsida; Malpighiales; Euphorbiaceae
Source: RNAcentral
AUUUAAAUAAUGUCACUUACUGAAAAAAUACCCUUGAUUGUUUUGAUAUCAUAGGCUUAGUGCUUGAUUUUGAUUGUUAGUUUUUUACGAUAGUUGUGUUAUAUCCACUUGGAAACUUUUAGAAUUUAUAUAUAUUAAAUAUAUAUUAGAAAGAGGAAAAAUUAUGUCUCUAGUAGCUAUUGUAUUCAACUAGUUCUUUCUACCAUGGAAAUCUAUUUGUUUAGUUUCAUGUCACCAUGUUCUAUUAGUCAGAGGAUACAGAGUGACGCACCUGGUGUACAUGCACCAUCUCUUACAUUCAUGUGGAACUCACUCUCUAUAUUAAUUACAAGGAGAGUCACUUUUUUGUGAGAGAAUUUAGCGCUCUCAAUGUGUAAUCAUUGGCCAUGUUUUUCAACUUUUUAUUUUUUUUAUUUUCUUCUUUAUUACCAACCAAAUAUGAGUUCGUUGACAAUUAUCGAUGGCAAAUUUUUGUAUGCAAUUUAUUUUAAAAUUUUAUUUUUUAUUUUCUUCUUAAUAUUUCUGACCAAAUAUGAGAUCGUUGGUAUUUCCCUAUGAAACAUGUUCGUAAGCAAUUUAUUUUAAAAUUUUGUUUUUUAUCUUCUUCUUAAUACCAACCAAAUAUGAGUUCAUUGGUAAAUAAAGAUGAAAAUUUUUCGUAGGUAAAAUUUUUAUGCUUUUUAAUUUUUUUAAUUUUUUUCUUUAAAUUAUCAAUCAAAUACGAGUUCGUUAGUAAUUACGGACUAAACAUUUUUGUAGAUAAAAUUUUUUAAGCUUUGUUUUUUUUAUUUCCUUCUUAAUAUUACCGAAAACAAAUUUUCGUAGAUAAUUUAUUUUAAAAUUUUAAUUUUUAUUUUCUUCUUAAUUUUACUGACCAAAUAAGGGGUUGCUAAUAUUUACCGAUGAAACAUAUUCGUAGGUAAUUUAUUUUAACAUUUUGUAUUUUAUCUUUUUCUUAAUAUUAUCAACCACAUUUGUGUUUGCUGGUUAUUAACGACG